Non-coding RNA from Myotis brandtii (Brandt's bat), 111 nucleotides. The record is from Rfam. Lineage: Eukaryota; Metazoa; Chordata; Mammalia; Chiroptera; Vespertilionidae.
GCUGGCGUUGCUAAGUGGUUAGAGUAUGGGCCCACACACCAUAGGGUCCCCGGUUCCAUUCCGAGUCAACUGCAUGUACCUGUGUUGUGGGUUCAAUCCCCACCCCCAGUA